This 905-nucleotide ribosomal RNA is filed under the name Triticum aestivum (bread wheat). RNAcentral's name for it is "partial small subunit ribosomal RNA". The record is from RNAcentral. Lineage: Eukaryota; Viridiplantae; Streptophyta; Magnoliopsida; Poales; Poaceae.
UCCCCCUCCCCCUAUCCUGCCUUUCUCCUUGAUCGCCGCCCCACCCCACCCGGCUUCUUCCCCCGCCGGCGCCGCCCCACCAGCAUCUGGCAUCUUCCACCGCAGGCGCCCUGCACCAGUCGUCUCCCUCCCACCUUCUUCCACCUCAAGGAGACGGGAUCCGGGCCGGCAAAACGUGCCCCUGCGCGGCCACGACCAGCCCCAGCUGCGACAUCCCGGUACAUGGCGGCAUGCUGGGAGAUGGAUCGCGACGGAGCGGCGGUCGUCCAUGCCGUGGCGACGCGGGGUCGCGCUCCUCCUGGAGAUCAGCCCGGCCGGCGGCGCCGGCCAAACCUCUCCUAACCCCGGAUCCACACCUCCCCGGCGGGGAUCAGGUGGAGCGAGGCCGGGUCGAUGCGGGUGGUGCCUGCCUUGCACUGCAGAUCCCCACGGCGGUCCCUCCCCGCGUCGACGAGCACCAUGACUGCGAGAUCUCGCCUGGCCCUCCCUUCCUCUGCUUCCUCUGCUUGCCGGUCAGUGCAGUGCACACGGGCGCCCUUUUGCACUUCUUUUUCGCAGCUCACUUGUUGUUUUCAAAGUGUCCCCUUGCAGUACACUUUGUUGCUCCCUCGCAAGUCUCUCCCCCCCAAUCUGCAGAUCACCGGCAGCGCCCCAUUCCAUGUCGCAGUUUGUUUCGGUCGUCCACACCAUAGAUCAUGGAGCCAUGGUCCAUGCAGUCGAUUUUGCGAGCUGUUACAGUCAACCCCACGGGCACAGGAGGACCUUGGCGUGACCGGGCUAUGGUGGUAUCACGUCAGUAUGCUUACGGCGCUGCCGAUGCACGCAUAGGACCAGGUCGUUGCUGGAGCAGCCCACAUGAUGGGGGCACGCGGCCAUCGUUGACUCCACAAGCAGUACGCUUUGGG